AAACUUAAAGGAAUUGACGGGGACCCGCACAAGCGGUGGAUGAUGUGGAUUAAUUCGAUGCAACGCGAAAAACCUUACCUACCCUUGACAUGUUCAGAAUCCCGGAGAGAUUUGGGAGUGCCCGAAAGGGAGCUGGAACACAGGUGCUGCAUGGCUGUCGUCAGCUCGUGUCGUGAGAUGUUGGGUUAAGUCCCGCAACGAGCGCAACCCUUGUCGUUAAUUGCCAUCAUUUAGUUGGGCACUUUAACGAGACUGCCGGUGACAAACCGGAGGAAGGUGGGGAUGACGUCAAGUCCUCAUGGCCCUUAUGGGUAGGGCUUCACACGUCAUACAAUGGUCGGUACAGAGGGUUGCCAAGCCGCGAGGUGGAGCCAAUCCCAGAAAGCCGAUCGUAGUCCGGAUUGCAGGCUGCAACUCGCCUGCAUGAAGUCGGAAUCGCUAGUAAUCGCGGAUCAGCAUGUCGCGGUGAAUACGUUCCCGGGUCUUGUACACACCGCCCGUCACACCAUGGGAGCGGGUUCCGCCAGAAGUAGGUAGCCUAACCGCAAGGGGGGCGCUUACCACGGCGGGGUUCGUGACUGGGGUGAAGUCGUAACAAGGUAGCCGUAGGGGAACCUGCGGCUGGAUCACCUCCU
RNAcentral lists this ribosomal RNA (635 nucleotides) under uncultured Dechloromonas sp. RNAcentral describes it as "bacterial SSU rRNA". It matches the Rfam family "Bacterial small subunit ribosomal RNA", at positions 897 to 1531 of the family's 1533-position model. The record is from RNAcentral. Lineage: Bacteria; Pseudomonadati; Pseudomonadota; Betaproteobacteria; Rhodocyclales; Azonexaceae.